RNAcentral lists this ribosomal RNA (920 nucleotides) under Staphylococcus aureus. RNAcentral describes it as "partial 23S ribosomal RNA". It matches the Rfam family "Bacterial large subunit ribosomal RNA", at positions 12 to 929 of the family's 2925-position model. Lineage: Bacteria; Bacillati; Bacillota; Bacilli; Caryophanales; Staphylococcaceae. The record is from RNAcentral.
UAAGGGCGCACGGUGGAUGCCUUGGCACUAGAAGCCGAUGAAGGACGUUACUAACGACGAUAUGCUUUGGGGAGCUGUAAGUAAGCUUUGAUCCAGAGAUUUCCGAAUGGGGAAACCCAGCAUGAGUUAUGUCAUGUUAUCGAUAUGUGAAUACAUAGCAUAUCAGAAGGCACACCCGGAGAACUGAAACAUCUUAGUACCCGGAGGAAGAGAAAGAAAAUUCGAUUCCCUUAGUAGCGGCGAGCGAAACGGGAAGAGCCCAAACCAACAAGCUUGCUUGUUGGGGUUGUAGGACACUCUAUACGGAGUUACAAAGGACGACAUUAGACGAAUCAUCUGGAAAGAUGAAUCAAAGAAGGUAAUAAUCCUGUAGUCGAAAAUGUUGUCUCUCUUGAGUGGAUCCUGAGUACGACGGAGCACGUGAAAUUCCGUCGGAAUCUGGGAGGACCAUCUCCUAAGGCUAAAUACUCUCUAGUGACCGAUAGUGAACCAGUACCGUGAGGGAAAGGUGAAAAGCACCCCGGAAGGGGAGUGAAAUAGAACCUGAAACCGUGUGCUUACAAGUAGUCAGAGCCCGUUAAUGGGUGAUGGCGUGCCUUUUGUAGAAUGAACCGGCGAGUUACGAUUUGAUGCAAGGUUAAGCAGUAAAUGUGGAGCCGUAGCGAAAGCGAGUCUGAAUAGGGCGUUUAGUAUUUGGUCGUAGACCCGAAACCAGGUGAUCUACCCUUGGUCAGGUUGAAGUUCAGGUAACACUGAAUGGAGGACCGAACCGACUUACGUUGAAAAGUGAGCGGAUGAACUGAGGGUAGCGGAGAAAUUCCAAUCGAACCUGGAGAUAGCUGGUUCUCUCCGAAAUAGCUUUAGGGCUAGCCUCAAGUGAUGAUUAUUGGAGGUAGAGCACUGUUUGGACGAGGGGCCCC